GAUGAACGCUGGCGGCGUGCCUAAUACAUGCAAGUCGAGCUAACAGACGAGGAGCUUGCUCCUCUGACGUUAGCGGCGGACGGGUGAGUAACACGUGGAUAACCUACCUAUAAGACUGGGAUAACUUCGGGAAACCGGAGCUAAUACCGGAUAAUCUAUUGAACCGCAUGGUUCAAUAGUGAAAGACGGUUUUGCUGUCACUUAUAGAUGGAUCCGCGCCGCAUUAGCUAGUUGGUAAGGUAACGGCUUACCAAGGCAACGAUGCGUAGCCGACCUGAGAGGGUGAUCGGCCACACUGGAACUGAGACACGGACCAGACGCCUACGGGAGGCAGCAGUAGGGAAUCGUCCGCAAUGGGCGAAAGCCUGACGGAGCAACGCCGCGUGAGUGAUGAAGGUCUUCGGAUCGUAAAACUCUGUUAUUAGGGAAGAACAAAUGUGUAAGUAACUAUGCACGUCUUGACGGUACCUAAUCAGAAAGCCACGGCUAACUACGUG
This 497-nucleotide ribosomal RNA is filed under the name uncultured bacterium. RNAcentral describes it as "partial 16S ribosomal RNA". It matches the Rfam family "Bacterial small subunit ribosomal RNA", at positions 28 to 507 of the family's 1533-position model. The record is from RNAcentral.